CCCAUAGUAUAUAGACUUCUCCUGAAGUUUAUAUUAAACAUUUAUGGCUAUUAGAUGGGUAUGCGUCCUAUUAGUUAGUUGGUAAGGUAACGGCUUACCAAGGCAGCGAUAGGUAGGGGUCCUGAGAGGGAGAUCCCCACACUGGUACUGAGACACGGACCAGACUCCUACGGGAGGCAGCAGUGAGGAAUAUUGGACAAUGGGCGAGAGCCUGAUCCAGCCAUGCCGCGUGCAGGAAGACUGCCCUAUGGGUUGUAAACUGCUUUUACAGAGGAAGAACCACCCCCACGUGUGGGGGUUUGACGGUACUCUGCGAAUAAGGAUCGGCUAACUCCGUG
Molecule: ribosomal RNA, 338 nt
Filed under: uncultured bacterium
Lineage: Bacteria
Description: bacterial SSU rRNA
Rfam family: Bacterial small subunit ribosomal RNA
Source: RNAcentral